AAUGCAGGGUGGGUUCCUGUCUCUCACUAUCUGCUUCUGCUUGUCCCCAGAGCCUCCCUUCACUCGCUUCCUCUUCAUUUUUGUUACAUAAUUUUGGGAUCCUGGACAAUUGGCAGUGACUUCAGCCACCCACGUGGUGUCCCAGUCUCUUUCAGGUGGAGCAGUGGGUGUGUCAGUAAAAAGAAAGCUGCAUUGUGGGAAGGAAGAUGGAUAGUUCUGGACUGCAAGGUAAAAGAUUCACAACCUGUGUAUUUCACCGCAGUCGAGAUCGCUCAACACCAUCGAAGCC
RNAcentral lists this long non-coding RNA (289 nucleotides) under Crocodylus porosus (Australian saltwater crocodile). RNAcentral describes it as "lncRNA (ENSCPRG00005013352.1)". The record is from RNAcentral. Lineage: Eukaryota; Metazoa; Chordata; Crocodylia; Crocodylidae.